UACUUCUUUGGGGUGAUUUUAUUGGUUGG
Molecule: non-coding RNA, 29 nt
Filed under: Homo sapiens (human)
Lineage: Eukaryota; Metazoa; Chordata; Mammalia; Primates; Hominidae
Source: RNAcentral